CCAGACUCCUACGGGAGGCAGCAGUGAGGAAUAUUGGUCAAUGGGCGGAAGCCUGAACCAGCCAAGUCGCGUGAGGGAAGAAGGCCCUGCGGGUCGCAGACCUCUUUGGACGGGGAGCAAGGCCGCCGACGUGUCGGCGGAAGGAGAGUACCCGUAGAACAAGCAUCGGCUAACUCCGUGCCAGCAGCCGCGGUAAUACGGAGGAUGCGAGCGUUAUCCGGAUUUAUUGGGUUUAAAGGGUGCGCAGGCGGCCCGGCAAGCCGGCGGUCAAAUCGCGGGGCUCAACCCCGCCCAGCCGUCGGAACUGCCGGGCUAGAGUGGGCGAGAAGUGCGCGGAAUGCGUGGUGUAGCGGUGAAAUGCUUAGAUAUCACGAAGAACCCCGAUUGCGAAGGCAGCCUGCCGCAGCGUUACUGACGCUGAAGCUCGAAAGCGCGGGUAUCGAACAGGAUUAGAUACCCCAGUAAUG
Molecule: ribosomal RNA, 467 nt
Filed under: uncultured bacterium
Lineage: Bacteria
Description: bacterial SSU rRNA
Rfam family: Bacterial small subunit ribosomal RNA
Source: RNAcentral